Molecule: long non-coding RNA, 1053 nt
Organism: Nerophis ophidion (straightnose pipefish)
Lineage: Eukaryota; Metazoa; Chordata; Actinopteri; Syngnathiformes; Syngnathidae
Exons: 3
Source: RefSeq, a predicted model, not a curated record
UUCUCCAGAUUCAGAUGUGAGCUAUUAACUGACUUCAUCCCUCCAACAGGUUAUUACAUGUCUAUUUUUACUAUAUCUGCUCUAAAUUUGACCCAACCUAUAUUUUGAAAGACAUUUAUUUAUUUUAAUCUCUCACAGAUCAGUUUAUAUGACAACUUUUUCGCAAGGGUACAUCCAUGUUAGUCAGUAGGAAGUUUAGAACUCAUGUUUAGCAAAACAGGAGAUGUUACAAGUCAACAACAUAAAUUCUACAUGUGAGCACUCGUCAUGUCCUUAUAUUGUUUGAAGCAAGAAAGACUUAGGUGUGUUUCAUGUAAGGUCCUCAUAUUUUCUGAACCAGAAAAUGUGUGUUACAAUGUUAAUGUCAAAGCUUUAAAAUGAGUGUCUCAAUUCAGGUCCUCAUAUUUUCUGAACCAGAUUUUUGUGUGUGUUACAUUCUUAAUGAAUUGUCUAAGAGCUGAAACUCUGUAAUAAUUUUUACCCUUUAUCUGGCAUUGUAUGCUCAGAUUUUUAUCAACAAAAAGUGGUGAGAAUGUUAUAAUUAAUUAGUUAUGACAUUAUAUUUUUGUGUUUUGUUGCAGAAACCAACUGUUGAGGUUCUAUCUCAACAUUCUCUAGAUUCAGAUGACAGCCAUAAACCGACUUCAUCCCUCCAACAGAUUGACAGCAGGACAAAUCGCUGGAAGUGGGUAUGUCUCAAGCUUCUUCCACUUGGUCCACUCCAAAGCGGGCUGCAAAGGGGAAGAAGUGGAAGCAGUUGAAUGACACAUGUUGCAUUUUAUAACUGGCAACAAAGUACCAGGUAAAAAAGAUUGUGAAGCCUCCCUCCGCAAAUAACUAGUAGCUCUACAGGACAGAGAUUGGCUUGCCAUCAAGUACUACAUCCAUAACAGAAUCAUAUUAAAAAAAGGAGAAUUUUUUUUUUCCACAUCUGCUGUGGUAGUUUGAGUAUGUUACCAGCAAUUAAAAAAGCAAGAUAAAGAGCAAGCGUUUUGUAUUUAUUCCAGAUAAUUGUUAGCGACAAAAUCCACAAAAACAAUUCAGUUACACUUA